Molecule: ribosomal RNA, 865 nt
Filed under: Montenegrina prokletiana prokletiana
Lineage: Eukaryota; Metazoa; Mollusca; Gastropoda; Stylommatophora; Clausiliidae
Description: partial large subunit ribosomal RNA
Source: RNAcentral
AAAUUAAAAUAGUAGCAUAUAGCUAAUUCCCGAAACAAAAAGAUCUAAAUUAAAUUUUCUUAUAGGUUGUAAAUCUUCUCUGUAGCAUUAGAGUGAAUAAAUAUUUAUUUAGUAGUGAAACACUUUCAUUUUUUGUGAUAUCUGGAUAAAAAUGAAAUAUAUUUAGUUUUAACAUAGUUACAAAGUGAUAAGAUUUUGUAAGAGUAAUUAAUUGAGUAAAAAUAAAUUUUCAACAAAUAAUACUUUAUGAAAAUUUUUGUAAGUGUAAAUAAAUCUUCUUACUUGCUAUUAUAUUUUAUUUUUUUACAUGUGUAGAUAAACAAGCUUAUGUAGAUAAUGUAUAAAUGAGUAUUAAUAUAAAUUUUUUUUAAGGAAUUCGGCAAAUAUUAUGUACGACUGUUUAACAAAAACAUAGCUAGUAGAAUAUAAUUAUUAGUGAUACCUGCCCAGCGAAUAUUUUUAGCGGCCGCAGUACUCUGACUGUGCAAAGGUAGCAUAAUCAUUUGGCUUUUAAUUGGAGUCUCGUAUGAAAGGAUAAACGUAUAUAAGCUGUCUUAAGCAAAAUCAAUAAAAAUUAGUAUAGGAGGUGAAAAUACCUCUAUUAAACUAAAAAGACGAGAAGACCCUUAGAAUUUUUAGAAAAAAUAAUUCAAUUUAUUUGGUUUUUUGUUGGGGCAACAAUUUUUCAAUCUUAAUAAAAAUAAAAAGAGAAGACAAAACGAGUAAGCUAAUUAAGGGUAAAUUACCUAAGGGAUAACAGCAUAAUUAUAUAAUUUAGAUUGUGACCUCGAUGUUGGAUUAGGGGUUAUUAAGGCUAGAGGUUUUAAUAAAAUUAGUUCUGUUCGAACAUUAUCCCCUACAUGAU